UACGUAGGGUGCGAGCGUUAAUCGGAAUUACUGGGCGUAAAGCGUGCGCAGGCGGUGAUGUAAGACAGAUGUGAAAUCCCCGGGCUCAACCUGGGAACUGCAUUUGUGACUGCAUCGCUGGAGUGCGGCAGAGGGGGAUGGAAUUCCACGUGUAGCAGUGAAAUGCGUAGAGAUGUGGAGGAACACCGAUGGCGAAGGCAGCCCCCUGGGUUAACACUGACGCUCAGGCACGAAAGCGUGGGGAGCAAACAGG
This 253-nucleotide ribosomal RNA is filed under the name uncultured bacterium. RNAcentral describes it as "partial 16S ribosomal RNA". It matches the Rfam family "Bacterial small subunit ribosomal RNA", at positions 524 to 776 of the family's 1533-position model. The record is from RNAcentral.